CGCAUCUGUGCAUGCAGCAUAUCAAUAAGCGGAGGAAAAGAAACUAACAAGGAUUCCCCUAGUAACGGCGAGUGAAGCGGGAAGAGCUCAAAUUUGAAAUCUUAAAGGGUUUCCCUUUACGAAUUGUAGUUUAAAGAAGUGUUUUCUGUUGAGGUUUUGGUAAAAGUUCUUUGGAAUAGGACAUCAUAGAGGGUGAGAAUCCCGUAUUUGACCUUUACUUUCAACUUUGUGAUACACUUUCAAAGAGUCGGAUUGCUUGGGAAUGCAGUCCAAAAUGGGUGGUAAAUUUCAUCUAAAGCUAAAUAUUGGCGAGAGACCGAUAGCGAACAAGUACCGUGAGGGAAAGAUGAAAAGAACUUUGAAAAGAGAGUUAAACAGUACGUGAAAUUGUCAAAAGGGAAGCGUUUGACACCAGUGUUGUUUUUCUGAAAAUCAAUUAAAGAACUGUUUAUGCUAAGUUGUUUAGACUUUAUCAGCUAACUGUUUAGUUUUGAGCUUUUCUUUAAUGCACUUUUCAGUUAACAAGUCAACAUCAAUUUCUUUUGCUGUAAAAAAGCUUGAGGAAGGUGGCUUGAGAUUCGUCUUAAGUGUUUAUAGCCUCUUGCCUAUGCAGUCGGAGAGAUUGAGGUCUGCAGCGUAGAUCCUUCGGGGCUAAAUGCAUUUGUGCUAAGUUAUAACAUUUUAUAGACAACUUGUUGACUAUGAUUUGUCUUGUAGCUUACUCGCUUAUGUUAUUUUACCUACGCUUAGGAUGUUGAACGCGCACAGAGUCUC
Molecule: ribosomal RNA, 774 nt
Filed under: uncultured Neocallimastigales
Lineage: Eukaryota; Fungi; Neocallimastigomycota; Neocallimastigomycetes; Neocallimastigales
Description: partial large subunit ribosomal RNA
Rfam family: Eukaryotic large subunit ribosomal RNA
Source: RNAcentral